UACGGGGGGGGCAAGCGUUGUUCGGAAUUACUGGGCGUAAAGGGCUCGUAGGCGGCCAACUAAGUCGGACGUGAAAUCCCUCGGCUUAACCGGGGAACGGCGUCCGAUACUGGAUGGCUUGAGUUUGGGAGAGGGAUGCGGAAUUCCAGGUGUAGCGGUGAAAUGCGUAGAUAUCUGGAGGAACACCGGUGGCGAAGGCGGCGUCCUGGACCAAUACUGACACUGAGGAGCGAAAGCCAGGGGAGCAAACGGG
RNAcentral lists this ribosomal RNA (253 nucleotides) under uncultured bacterium. RNAcentral describes it as "partial 16S ribosomal RNA". It matches the Rfam family "Bacterial small subunit ribosomal RNA", at positions 524 to 776 of the family's 1533-position model. The record is from RNAcentral.